RNAcentral lists this ribosomal RNA (275 nucleotides) under Nereididae environmental sample. Its description in RNAcentral is "partial 16S ribosomal RNA". It matches the Rfam family "Bacterial large subunit ribosomal RNA", at positions 1956 to 2483 of the family's 2925-position model. The record is from RNAcentral. Lineage: Eukaryota; Metazoa; Annelida; Polychaeta; Phyllodocida; Nereididae.
AUAAUCAUUUGCCUUUUAAUUGAAGGCUAGUAUGAAAGGACACACAUGAAUAAGACUGUCUCAGUAAGGCCUAUUUUAAAUUGAUUUUCAGGUGAAGACGCCUGAAUUAUAAUAAAGGACAAGAAGACCCUAUAGAGCUUUAUUAAUAAAAAGCGUAAAACUUCCUUAUUAAUUUGGUUGGGACAACCAAAAAACAUUUAAACCUUUUUCCUUUCUAAUCCUACCCUUAUCCAUAAAUGAACUAGAACUUUAAGCUACCUUAGGGAUAACAGGCU